UGGGGAAUAUUGCACAAUGGGCGCAAGCCUGAUGCAGCCAUGCCGCGUGUAUGAAGAAGGCCUUCGGGUUGUAAAGUACUUUCAGCGGGGAGGAAGGCGAUAAGGUUAAUAACCUUGUCGAUUGACGUUACCCGCAGAAGAAGCACCGGCUAACUCCGUGCCAGCAGCCGCGGUAAUACGGAGGGUGCAAGCGUUAAUCGGAAUUACUGGGCGUAAAUCGCACGCAGGCGGUCUGUCAAGUCGGAUGUGAAAUCCCCGGGCUCAACCUGGGAACUGCAUUCGAAACUGGCAGGCUAGAGUCUUGUAGAGGGGGGUAGAAUUCCAGGUGUAGCGGUGAAAUGCGUAGAGAUCUGGAGGAAUACCGGUGGCGAAGGCGGCCCCCUGGACAAAGACUGACGCUCAGGUGCGAAAGCGUGGGGAGCAAACA
Molecule: ribosomal RNA, 427 nt
Filed under: uncultured bacterium
Lineage: Bacteria
Description: partial 16S ribosomal RNA
Rfam family: Bacterial small subunit ribosomal RNA
Source: RNAcentral